This 307-nucleotide long non-coding RNA is filed under the name Elaeis guineensis (African oil palm). RNAcentral's name for it is "long non-coding RNA (EGUI_LNC068092)". Lineage: Eukaryota; Viridiplantae; Streptophyta; Magnoliopsida; Arecales; Arecaceae. The record is from RNAcentral.
GUUUAUAUGUAGUGGGCUAUUCGGCAGAGAGCACAAGAGUGGCGGCAAUAGUAGCAGAGCCGGGAGAGCUCUAUGGAGGUGCUGUAGAGGGACUCAAAAAUAUCUCAGGAUGGCUCAGAGAUCGAGGUAGGGAGUGCUGGAGUGCUGCAGUAGCACAUCAAUGAUAGCGUGGGGCUAAGAGAGGCUAGGCAGUACAGCAAUCGAGGGAGGUAUCUUAGGGAAAUAGCCGAAAGUGUCCUGAGUUCGGCCAGAUGGAGUGACCGUAAUGGGUAGGGACAGGCUGGGAGCGCCAGGGGCAUCUCAGGGA